RNAcentral lists this ribosomal RNA (215 nucleotides) under uncultured Lactobacillus sp. RNAcentral's name for it is "partial 16S ribosomal RNA". It matches the Rfam family "Bacterial small subunit ribosomal RNA", at positions 148 to 355 of the family's 1533-position model. Lineage: Bacteria; Bacillati; Bacillota; Bacilli; Lactobacillales; Lactobacillaceae. The record is from RNAcentral.
ACCUAGGAAACAGAUGCUAAUACCGGAUAACAACAGAUGAUGCCUAUCAACUGUUUAAAAGAUGGUUCUGCUAUCACUCUUGGAUGGACCUGCGGUGCAUUAGCUAGUUGGUAGGGUAACGGCCUACCAAGGCGAUGAUGCAUAGCCGAGUUGAGAGACUGAUCGGCCACAUUGGGACUGAGACACGGCCCAAACUCCUACGGGAGGCAGCAGCA